Cyprinus carpio (common carp) is the source of this 480-nucleotide long non-coding RNA. RefSeq lists it as uncharacterized. The record is from RefSeq and is a predicted model, not a curated record. The transcript is spliced from 2 exons. Lineage: Eukaryota; Metazoa; Chordata; Actinopteri; Cypriniformes; Cyprinidae.
ACUGUGGUGGACUUUUGGUGGAGGAACUAAACUGACGAUCACUGGUCCCGCAGUGAAGCCCUCCGUGUCUCUGCUGCCUCCCUCUUCUCUGCAGAUCUCUGGAGACUCAGCCGCACUGCUCUGUCUGCUCAGCUCUUACUCUCCACAGGGGGCGCGCAGGUGAGCUGGAGGCUGGACGGGUCAGAGGUCACCGAGGGGGUUCAGACCAGCGCAGAGAGCGAGCGGGACGGACGCUACAGCCGCAGCAGCGUCCUGAGCCUCAGCAAAGCACGCUGGGAAGCCGGCGAGCGCUUCGUCUGCAGAGUAACACAUGACGGAGCUGCUCAGGAGACCUCGUUCCUCAAGAGCUCCGAGUGCUGAUGUUUCUCCAGUGAAGAGCAGCAGGAUUCACAGCGGUCUCCUGAUUUACAGCUCAAUACUCAAGCAGUCUUUCAAUCUGCUGCCAUUGCUGUUCAUUCAAUAAAGCUUCUGAACGCCUUA